GAGGACCAGUGAUUCAAAACGCCAGUAGAUGUGGAAGAGAACAAUAAAAGGAAAGAGAUUGGAGUCUUUGCUCCACCCAUAUCCGUAGAUGAUGAUGGGUUUGGUGAUACUGCAGGCGUGGAAGUUGGUGCAGUUGAGUAUGUGAGCGCCAGUAAUUUUAUUGAUGCAGCAGAUGCGACUGAGGUUGAGAUGGAGAUUGAUCAGAUUAAAUCCACUGGGAAGAGCAAGAAGCACAAGGAUUCUAGGUCAAUGAAGCCUUUCAAAAUUGCCCUUGUGGAUUUUGUGAAGGAAGUCCUACGGCCAUCAUGGCGAGGAAUAUGAGCAAAGAGGCAUAUAAGACCAUCUUGAAGAAAACUGUUGACAAAGUAACUGGAACUAUGAAGAGCCACCACAUUCCGAAAUCUCGAGCAGAGAUAAAUCACUACAUUGAUUCUUCACAACGCAAGCUGACAAAACUUGUGAUGCGAUAUGUUGAUAAGUAUGUCGACGUGUAGAUAUGAAACCGAUGGAUUUCAAGGCCAUAUGUAUCUAUCAUACCAGAGGUUUGGCUGAGCUGUGGACAAUUUGGAUGUUGAAGUGAUAUUGAGCAGAUAUUUCAACCCACCAACCGUUUGCUCUAGUCUAUGGAUGGGAGUAAAAAUUGAUUUUGAGGUUAGGGAAAGAAAGCACCCCAUUACUGCAGAGCCCGCUUACAUAUUACCCGAUUCGGCUCAGACUUUUUUGGUGGAUUCAUGUAAAAAAGAUUCACUUGAUCCUGAAAGUAGCACAACCUCCUCUGGAAGUUUUAGCUCCCAAAGUCGGAUUCAUCUUUGUGAAGGUGUGUUAUCAAGGUUAUGUGAUGAGAGACUGACGGUCUUGUUCCUUGUUGUGAGCAUAUGUUUCAUAUAAUGUCACCCGACAAUGCAUGUUUCUUUGGUCAAGAUGUGCUCCAUUAGUACCAUAUAGCAAGAUGGACAGAAAAUUUAAUUUGAAUAGCUAAUGUAAUCGUCAUAGUAUCUCCCAUAAACAUCUUGUUUUCCAAAGCCGUAUGUAGAUCUUAUUCAUCUGAGAGAC
Long non-coding RNA from Eucalyptus grandis, 1053 nucleotides. RefSeq lists it as uncharacterized. The record is from RefSeq and is a predicted model, not a curated record. The transcript is spliced from 2 exons. Lineage: Eukaryota; Viridiplantae; Streptophyta; Magnoliopsida; Myrtales; Myrtaceae.